CUUCCAGACUCCUACGGGAGGCAGCAGUGGGGAAUAUUGCACAAUGGGGGAAACCCUGAUGCAGCAACGCCGCGUGAGUGAAGAAGUAUUUCGGUAUGUAAAGCUCUAUCAGCAGGGAAGAGAAUGACGGUACCUGACUAAGAAGCCCCGGCUAACUACGUGCCAGCAGCCGCGGUAAUACGUAGGGGGCAAGCGUUAUCCGGAUUUACUGGGUGUAAAGGGAGCGUAGACGGCUGGCCAAGUCUGAAGUGAAAGCCCGGGGCUUAACCCCGGAACGGCUUUGGAAACUGGCCGGCUGGAGUGCUGGAGAGGCAGGCGGAAUUCCUGGUGUAGCGGUGAAAUGCGUAGAUAUCAGGAGGAACACCGGUGGCGAAGGCGGCCUGCUGGACAGUAACUGACGUUGAGGCUCGAAAGCGCGGGGAGCAAACAGGAUUAGAUACCCGAGUA
Molecule: ribosomal RNA, 447 nt
Filed under: uncultured bacterium
Lineage: Bacteria
Description: bacterial SSU rRNA
Rfam family: Bacterial small subunit ribosomal RNA
Source: RNAcentral